ACAAGGUUUCCGUAGGUGAACCUGCGGAAGGAUCAUUAUUGAAUUUU
Molecule: ribosomal RNA, 47 nt
Filed under: cf. Rhizoctonia sp. CC28
Lineage: Eukaryota; Fungi; Basidiomycota; Agaricomycetes; Cantharellales; Ceratobasidiaceae
Also listed under: 1 other name
Description: partial 18S ribosomal RNA
Source: RNAcentral